This 383-nucleotide ribosomal RNA is filed under the name Haptophyta sp. Its description in RNAcentral is "SSU rRNA". It matches the Rfam family "Eukaryotic small subunit ribosomal RNA", at positions 587 to 975 of the family's 1831-position model. The record is from RNAcentral. Lineage: Eukaryota; Haptophyta.
AGCUCCAAUAGCGUAUAUUAAAGUUGUUGCAGUUAGAACGCUCGUAGUCGGAUUUCGGGGCGGGUCGACCGGUCUGCCGAUGGGUACGCACUGGUCGACGCGUCCUUCCUUCCGGAGACCGUCUCACUCUUAACUGAGCGGAGGCGGGAGACGGAACGUUUACUUUGAAAAAAUCAGAGUGUUUCAAGCAGGCAGCUCGCUCUUGCAUGGAUUAGCAUGGGAUAAUGAAAUAGGACUUUGGUGCUAUUUUGUUGGUUUCGAACACCGAAGUAAUGAUGAGAAGGGACAGUCAGGGGCACUCGUAUUCCGCCGAGAGAGGUGAAAUUCUUAGACCAGCGGAAGACGAACCACUGCGAAAGCAUUUGCCAGGGAUGUUUUCACUG